Molecule: ribosomal RNA, 684 nt
Filed under: uncultured bacterium
Lineage: Bacteria
Description: bacterial SSU rRNA
Rfam family: Bacterial small subunit ribosomal RNA
Source: RNAcentral
AGAGCGGCGGACGGGUGAGUAAUGCCUAGGAAUCUGCCUGGUAGUGGGGGAUAACGUUCGGAAACGGACGCUAAUACCGCAUACGUCCUACGGGAGAAAGCAGGGGACUUCGGGCCUUGCGCUAUCAGAUGAGCCUAGGUCGGAUUAGCUAGUUGGUGAGGUAAUGGCUCACCAAGGCGACGAUCCGUAACUGGUCUGAGAGGAUGAUCAGUCACACUGGAACUGAGACACGGUCCAGACUCCUACGGGAGGCAGCAGUGGGGAAUAUUGGACAAUGGGCGAAAGCCUGAUCCAGCCAUGCCGCGUGUGUGAAGAAGGUCUUCGGAUUGUAAAGCACUUUAAGUUGGGAGGAAGGGCAUUAACCUAAUACGUUAGUGUUUUGACGUUACCGACAGAAUAAGCACCGGCUAACUCUGUGCCAGCAGCCGCGGUAAUACAGAGGGUGCAAGCGUUAAUCGGAAUUACUGGGCGUAAAGCGCGCGUAGGUGGUUUGUUAAGUUGGAUGUGAAAUCCCCGGGCUCAACCUGGGAACUGCAUUCAAAACUGACUGACUAGAGUAUGGUAGAGGGUGGUGGAAUUUCCUGUGUAGCGGUGAAAUGCGUAGAUAUAGGAAGGAACACCAGUGGCGAAGGCGACCACCUGGACUAAUACUGACACUGAGGUGCGAAAGCGUGGGGAGCAAAC